This is a non-coding RNA of Otolemur garnettii (small-eared galago), 138 nucleotides long. The record is from Rfam. Lineage: Eukaryota; Metazoa; Chordata; Mammalia; Primates; Galagidae.
AGCUUUGAGCAGUGGCACUAUUGUAGCCUAUGAAGUUUAUUUGAGGUAUAAUUAUUGCUAAUUGAAAACUUUUCCCAAUAUCCCCCCCAUGACAACUUUAAACAUAGUUGGCAUUGACAAUUCUUUUUUUUUUUUUUU